CCUACGGGUGGCAGCAGUGGGGAAUUUUGGACAAUGGGCGCAAGCCUGAUCCAGCCAUUCCGCGUGAGUGAAGAAGGCCUUCGGGUUGUAAAGCUCUUUCGCAAGGGAAGAAAACUUAUCCUCUAACAUAGGAUGAGGUUGACGGUACCUUGAUAAGAAGCACCGGCUAACUACGUGCCAGCAGCCGCGGUAAUACGUAGAGUGCGAGCGUUAAGCGGACUUAGGCGGCGUAAAGCGUGAGAUGUGUAAUCCCCGAGCUCAACGUGGGAACUGCGUUUGAAACUACAAGACUAGAAUAGGUCAGAGGGGGGUAGAAUUCCACGUGUAGCAGUGAAAUGCGUAGAGAUGUGGAGGAAUAUCAAUGGCGAAGGCAGCCCCCUGGGAUCAUAUUGACGCUCAUGCACGAAAGCGUGGGGAGCAAACAGGAUUAGAUACCCUAGUAGUC
This 445-nucleotide ribosomal RNA is filed under the name uncultured bacterium. RNAcentral's name for it is "partial 16S ribosomal RNA". It matches the Rfam family "Bacterial small subunit ribosomal RNA", at positions 338 to 795 of the family's 1533-position model. The record is from RNAcentral.